This 930-nucleotide ribosomal RNA is filed under the name Pseudoroussoella chromolaenae. Its description in RNAcentral is "SSU rRNA". It matches the Rfam family "Eukaryotic small subunit ribosomal RNA", at positions 109 to 1046 of the family's 1831-position model. Lineage: Eukaryota; Fungi; Ascomycota; Dothideomycetes; Pleosporales; Thyridariaceae. The record is from RNAcentral.
GUUAUCGUUUAUUUGAUAGUACCUUACUACUUGGAUACCCGUGGUAAUUCUAGAGCUAAUACAUGCAAAAAACCCCAACUUCGGAAGGGGUGUAUUUAUUAGAUAAAAAACCCAAUGCCCUUCGGGGCUCUUUGGUGAUUCAUGAUAACUUAACGGAUCGCAUGGCCUUGCGCCGGCGACGGUUCAUUCAAAUUUCUGCCCUAUCAACUUUCGAUGGUAAGGUAUUGGCUUACCAUGGUUUCAACGGGUAACGGAUUUUUAGGGAAAGAUCCCGGAGAGGGAGCCUGAGAAACGGCUACCACAUCCAAGGAAGGCAGCAGGCGCGCAAAUUACCCAAUCCCGACACGGGGAGGUAGUGACAAUAAAUACUGAUACAGGGCUCUUUUGGGUCUUGUAAUCGGAAUGAGUACAAUUUAAAUACCUUAACGAGGAACAAUUGGAGGGCAAGUCUGGUGCCAGCAGCCGCGGUAAUUCCAGCUCCAAUAGCGUAUAUUAAAGUUGUUGCAGUUAAAAAGCUCGUAGUUGAACCUUGGGCCUGGCUGGCCGGUCCGCCUCACCGCGUGUACUGGUCCGGCCGGGCCUUUCCUUCUGGAGAACCGCAUGCCCUUCACUGGGUGUGUCGGGGAACCAGGACUUUUACUUUGAGAAAAUUAGAGUGUUCAAAGCAGGCCUUUGCUCGAAUACGUUAGCAUGGAAUAAUAGAAUAGGACGUGCGGUCCUAUUUUGUUGGUUUCUAGAACCGCCGUAAUGAUUAAUAGGGAUAGUCGGGGGCGUCAGUAUUCAAUUGUCAGAGGUGAAAUUCUUGGAUCUAUUGAAGACUAACUACUGCGAAAGCAUUCGCCAAGGAUGUUUUCAUUAAUCAGUGAACGAAAGUUAGGGGAUCGAAGACGAUCAGAUACCGUCGUAGUCUUAACCGUAAACUAUGCCGAC